Molecule: ribosomal RNA, 433 nt
Filed under: uncultured bacterium
Lineage: Bacteria
Description: partial 16S ribosomal RNA
Rfam family: Bacterial small subunit ribosomal RNA
Source: RNAcentral
AACGAACGCUGGCGGCAUGCCUAACACAUGCAAGUCGAACGAGACCUUCGGGCCUAGUGGCGCACGGGUGCGUAACGCGUGGGAACCUGCCCUUAGGUUCGGAAUAACUCCCCGAAAGGGGUGCUAAUACCGGAUAAUGUCUUCGGACCAAAGAUUUAUCGCCUUUGGAUGGGCCCGCGUUGGAUUAGCUGGUUGGUAGGGUAAAAGCCUACCAAGGCGACGAUCCAUAGCUGGUCUGAGAGGAUGAUCAGCCACACUGGGACUGAGACACGGCCCAGACUCCUACGGGAGGCAGCAGUGGGGAAUAUUGGACGAUGGGCGAAAGCCUGAUACAGCAGUGCCGCGUGAGUGAUGAAGGCCUUAGGGUUGUAAAGCUCUUUUACCCGGGAUGAUAAUGACGGUACCGGGAGAAUAAGCACCGGCUAACUCCGUG